GGGAGCCUCAGGAAAACAAAACGUAAAGUUACAGCCCACAAAACAGAACACAGGAAAUGGACCUUCAAAAUAACAGCACAGACAAUACCAACCGCCACAUCUACUUUAAAGUCAGAUGUUGAAUAAAAUAAAAAAAUAAGUGAAAAUUUAAUGAAGUUCCUCUUCAAUCAUUUUCCUUAGGUUGUUGUUUUUUUCUGGCCACAUGAGCCAACCCGACGUUCAUGUUAGUCCUCUUAUUUACAAUUAUUAACAGUUAUUAUUACUGUUUUUUCUUCAAACCUGCUUCUAAGUGACCAAUUGCAAUUAUCUGAUACUUGAAAACCUUGUCAACAUGGUAAACAAAUUAGCUUAGCAUCAACAUAGUCUUAACAUUGUGAUAAUGUUAGCAUGCUGACACUAACGUGUGCACAUAGCCACUCGCGUAGCUCCAGACACUUUGUCCUGUUCAAUAAAUUAAAUACAUUGUGUGUCCCUCUGAGACUAUUUUCUAUUUUCUAUAUUACAUAUUUGUACAUGUGGGGGGAACCCGGAGAACACACGACCUCCACACAGAAAGGCACCAACCAGAUGUGGAUUAUUGAGUGAGGUGACGCUGCUAACCAGUGCACCACCACGCCCGCCUUGUUUCUUCAUGUUGUGUUCCUGUCCCGUUGUUCAAAGGAACCUCUCCUCUCUGAUGUGAAGUCUCCUCCUUCUUCCACUUCUUUUGUUUCCUUCAACCCAAAAAGUGCCGUGUUCGUUUCCAGAUAGAAGUCUUCCUCGUUGUCUCUGAGAGCUCCUCAUCAGGGGCUUCAGCCUCCUCUGUGGAUUCGAGGGACGGUGUGUUGGUGCUGGUGGAUGGCUUCUCCUCCGCGAUUUCAGCAGCUUGAGCCUCUUUCAGGGGUGCGGUGGUGGCUUCUUGCUGGGGAGGUCGACCCUCUUCUCUCUCAGCCUCAAGCUCAAUGAACAGCUCAAGGUUGAGAGAGUUUUCAGCUCCUCCAGUUCUCUCCUGACCAGUCUCUCCUUCUCCAAGACGUUUUGCUGCCAGCCGUUCAUCUCCUCCGCCGUCUUUUGACGAACGGCGUGCUGCUCAGCCCUCAAGGUGUCGAUCACACACUGGCAUUCUGACACCGUGUCAGUGUGAGACUUGAUCUCCUUCUCAAGCUCACGCUGAAGGAUGUCAGCCCGCUGUCUGGCGGUGAUGAGAUCAGUUUGAUAGCUUUGGCUGAUCUCCUGGUGUUGAAUCUUGGUCCUUUCCAGUUCGUCUUGGAGAAGCUUGUUCUUCUCCUUCUUCUCCUGCAGUUCAGCUGUGGACCUCUGCUGGCUGAGAGUAUACACCACCUGCAUCUCCUCACGGUGUUUCUGGAGGAGAUUCUUCUGCUCAAUCUCCUUCUCAAGCUCAGACUGAAGGCUGUCAGCCUGCUGUCUGACACUGAAGUCAGUGUACAAACUGAGGCUGACCUCUUGAUGUGAAGGCCUGACUGUCCAGUUCUUCUUGGAGAGCCAGUAUCUCUCACCUGUGUGGUGAUCUUUGCAGCGUCCAGAGUUUCUGGAUUGGUUGGAUGUGCAGUGCGAGUGCUCUCUGGUCCUCAGAUAGAGACGUCUGUGAUGUUUCCUGAGGUCAAACGGUCGUCUGCUGAUGGUGAGAGACACUUCCAAAGCCACAGAUUUAUACAUUCAUGGUCACUUUAUAACUCAUGUGUUUUGUUUGAGUUUUCCAGGUUUGUUUGAGGAAUCUGAGCCUGAUGACAAUGAUUCCAGUGUCACUUGGAUCAUUGUGUGUGUGUUCGUGGUCUUCAGUGUCUGUUGUGUUGCAGUCAUCAUCUCAGUCCUGCUUCUACAACAACAAAAGAAAAGGGACUCUGAGGACGUCAUGUCUACUGGGACAACAGAAAAAGUGGACUCGUCAACAGCAUCAUCUGGGACAGCAAAGCAUCAGCUGUUUUAAGUUCUCACUCUGCCUACAGCAACUAUUUUGGUCAAAGAGUCGUUGGUCAAUUUUGGACUAAGGAUGCAAUUGAGGGCAGAUGAAGUAUGUAUGUUGCUGUGGUAAAUGUUGGAGCCAGAUUGAACAAAAUGAGAGUUUUCUGGAGAAAAGCCUGAAAAUACUAAAACUUUUAUGUGUAACCUUUAUUUUUUAUGUCAGGGAAACACUUUAUGAGCUCCAUGUGGAAUGUAGCUGCCUUUGAUAUGUAUUUGUAUUUUGUACAUGCAUUUUAAUAAAAUGUCAGUUUUCAGAUCUCCAUUUCUGGAGGUGAA
Chelmon rostratus (copperband butterflyfish) is the source of this 2238-nucleotide long non-coding RNA. RefSeq lists it as uncharacterized. The record is from RefSeq and is a predicted model, not a curated record. Lineage: Eukaryota; Metazoa; Chordata; Actinopteri; Chaetodontiformes; Chaetodontidae. The transcript has 3 exons.